AUUGAACGCUGGCGGCAGGCCUAACACAUGCAAGUCGAACGGUAACAGGAAGCAGCUUGCUGCUUUGCUGACGAGUGGCGGACGGGUGAGUAAUGUCUGGGAAACUGCCUGAUGGAGGGGGAUAACUACUGGAAACGGUAGCUAAUACCGCAUAACGUCGCAAGACCAAAGAGGGGGACCUUAGGGCCUCUUGCCAUCGGAUGUGCCCAGAUGGGAUUAGCUAGUAGGUGGGGUAACGGCUCACCUAGGCGACGAUCCCUAGCUGGUCUGAGAGGAUGACCAGCAACACUGGAACUGAGACACGGUCCAGACUCCUACGGGAGGCAGCAGUGGGGAAUAUUGCACAAUGGGCGCAAGCCUGAUGCAGCCAUGCCGCGUGUAUGAAGAAGGCCUUCGGGUUGUAAAGUACUUUCAGCGGGGAGGAAGGGAGUAAAGUUAAUACCUUUGCUCAUUGACGUUACCCGCAGAAGAAGCACCGGCUAACUCCGUG
Molecule: ribosomal RNA, 490 nt
Filed under: uncultured bacterium
Lineage: Bacteria
Description: partial 16S ribosomal RNA
Rfam family: Bacterial small subunit ribosomal RNA
Source: RNAcentral